This is a non-coding RNA of Paramuricea clavata, 433 nucleotides long. The record is from the annotation of a GenBank genome assembly. NCBI's taxonomy places the organism in Eukaryota, Metazoa, Cnidaria, Anthozoa, Malacalcyonacea, Plexauridae.
CAGCCGUUUUCCGUUGCUCGUUGUUGGCAUCUUAAACGCCUACAAAGAGCGGCUGCGAUAUAUUUAUAUUGUAAUAUUGACAUUGAGUAGCGUUUCCGUCACUUUUCAUUGCAUCAUUGACGUUUAAACUCCGAAACUAGAAGUACACUCACUGUAUGACUGUAUGUGUGUAUGUUGUUACUGUAUGUUUACUUUAUCAGUUGUAAUGUAGGAUAACGAGACGUGUUGAGGUGAAGUAUUCUAAAAAGUAUUUUUUUCUUUCUCUAGUUGAAGCCUCUUUUUAAUCAUGCCGGGAACAAAAAUUGCGGAUGAAGAUCGGAAGAAAAUCGAUAAGAAAUUCAUCUGUACCAGUUGUAACAUGUUGUUGUGCAUUCCCAUGCAAACUCAAUGUGGACACUUGAUGUGUUCUGCUUGUCUGCAAACAUUGCUAGAG